GCAAAUUCAAGGUAAAAUAUUUAGAGGGGAAGAAAGUUGUAAUUGUUUAAAACUUACCGAGUCUUUAGGGAAAGCUAUGAAGAGUUGGUUGAAGUUUGGAGCUGUAUCUAGAAAUUCCAAAGACUGUUUCAAUAUAAAACGACAAGUAUCAGUCAGCUGUGGCUUUCAAAUGACGCUCAAAGUCAUUGGGGAAAGUUGGUAGGUUCCAUAGAAAGACAAAUACUCAAAUUUCUAUUACCUCCAAACACUUCUUUAUAGGAAAACUCUAUCUCAACUUUAUUUCUUAUCACCCACAAGCAACUUCUUCACAGUUCCUUUGAAAAUGCUACUUGUUUUCGUUUGUACUAGUCUAGAGAUAUAUAGUAUUUAUUUCUCUUUUGACCUUUGAGUACUUAAUAAACAAAACGUCAAUUUAAACUAUGAUUUUGCUUAAAUAAAUAACUUUCCUUCUUUUCAACACUGUUUCUCAACUCGGGUACACCAUUUUAUUUAUUUAUUGUUUUUGCAUAAGUGAUGACUAUAAUACUUACGCUAGAGGGAAGUUAGGUUCCAAAUAAAUAUACAUAUGUUAUGAUUAUAAUUGUUUUGCUCAUGAAAUUGCUAUAAAUUUAUUUAACCAUCUUACAUCAUGAGUCGGCUGUGUUAGGUUGGAGCUACCUACCAAAUGCACCUCAGCAGCCUUACAUCUUUAAUUUUAUUUUUCAACAAUCAGCGUUGCAUCUUUUGACAGCAUAAACUGAGACAAAACGACUCAGAAUCGCAAAUAAAAAAAUACAAGGAGAUGAAAGAAGAAGCAGCAGACAUCCCCCAACCAAACUCAAGGCACUACCUAGUGUCACAUUCUAAUCUAAUCAACAAAUUAAGGCGGAUUUAUACUAAUAAACAAUUUCCAAGCUGGAGAAAAAAAAAAAGGAAUUAUAUGUUAAAUCAAUUAUUUUCUUUAGGUGUUUGAGGUUGAUUACUGAACAAGCAGCCACAAGAAAUAAAUGCAUCACCAAGUUGAUGUGGAAUGUGCUCUUAAUCUCAUCCCGGAAUAAAAGAAGAACAAAAGAUUAACUUCGAUUGAUACACAAUUUGGCCCAAAAAUAUGGAAAAAAGAACAAUCACCAUAAUACUACUCAAACGACAAAUCGAAAAGCAAAACCCUAAACGUUAUUCCUUUAUUUAUUGACUUAUAGAGCUACCAAAUAAUCUUCAAAAAGUAAAAUAAAAUUGUGGUUUCAUAUUUUUUUCAUUUAAAUUGACAACAAAUUGCUCUUCUUUUGGCAGUGAUAUAAUUUUAAACAUUAAUAAAAUGAUUUUCUCAAUAAAUAUGCAUCUAUUAUGCAUUUUGGACUUGAAAGAAUAUCAAUUUUCUUUUAAUUUUUUUUAACUUAAUUAAAAAUUUUAAAAAAUAUAUUCUUCUGUUAUACUGAGUACAAAUGCUUAAUUAGAUACUAAAUCACGUAUAAACUAAUCAUUUUGAAAAUUCAUAUCAAAUCCUUAAUACCAUAGAAGGUUAUUAAAUCUAGUUGGCUUAGUAUUAAAAUGUUGAAAUAAAAGAAGCACGGUAUUAGUACAUUAGAAUAAAUUACAGGUCUUGAAAUGGAAAAAGCGAAAGCAUAAAAAACAAACUAUAUAUUCAUCGGUAAUUUUUAAUAUAAGCUUAAUUACAACAAGAGUACAUUCCAUGACUAAAUUAUUGUUCACCCAAAGAUGCAUAGAAUCAACACUGUUAAUGGCCGGAGCAUAUUUAAAUGACCACGCAUUGAGGACUCUAAGCUAGUAUUCUAGAGAAUCAUAGUAAUGUUGAUUGUUAAUUUUUGAAACAUAUGUAAGCGUUUGAGUGUUUCCUUGAACAAGUUAUGUAGACUUGUGCAUCUCAAUCACUAUAUAUAUGUAUAAUUUUAGUGGACGGAGACCAAAUAUAUAUAUAUAUAUAUAUAUAUGAUAAGUAGUUUGUAUAUCAAUUCUAGUAAAAAGAUAAUAUGACUCUAACAUCUCAACUGCUAGAGUAUAAACUAUGUGUUGCUCGAAGAUAAUUAGUUCUAGUUUAUCUUUCCGUGAAUCAAUCACUCUCAGUUUCUAGCUUCAUGAUGCACUUUUCAAAAUUUAUGCAAGUUAUACUAAAAGGCCAUCUUGUCAACCCAAAUUAAAUAAAAGGAAGCCUAUCCCAUGGAAUAGCUUAUACAUACCGGGAUUCCUUUUUUUCCAUCGAGAAAGUUUGGGCCUUCAGAUUAUACCUAUGCCUAUAGGUUGAUGGCAAUCAAAUAACUUUUAGUGUUUGAAUCGAAAAGGACCUUACUGCUUAAACUUGAACUUGAUAGCAAGAAAUGCACACUUCUAUUGCAAUUAUGUAGAAUGAAUCACUUUUCAAAUUAAAUAAUAACUUCUAUACGAAUGUUUCAAAUAUGCAUUGCACAUUGAAUUACAAGCAUGUCUAAGCUCCAAUCAACCACACCCUGCCACCCAAUAACUAAAAAACCACAUAUCAUGACUUCUCUCCAAUGGCGAAGUCAACCGCUUGGAAGACCAGAAUACCCUUCAUGCAAUACAACACUCGAAAUGCCUGGAACUCUAAAAAUGAUGAAGCAAAGACGGAACGCAAUUGCUUAAAUGCAUGGCAGUCUGUCCUACCUUUAUUAUUUAUUCACAUAAAUUCUUUGAUAUAAUUAAGAAUUAUCAAUUAUAAUCCUCUCAUAUGUAUAUGUUGAAUAUGAUAAAUUAUGUUAUUCCAAACCUCUAAUUUUGACUUGAUGCAAGUGAUCCUAAUAAAUUAAACCGCAUCCUUCUAUUUUACUUAAGAGGACGAGAGUUCAAGAAUCAAAGACCCAAUAGGAUGCAAUGUAGCAAUUUUGUGGCAAUGACAGUACAAAUAUAGACAAGAAUUUAGUGCAUGUGUACUAGCUACAAGUGCAAGCAGAUAGAGGCCUUCUAGAAGAAACUAUAUCAUGUGUACUACAUCUAUCGUUUUCUUGCAUGCAAAAUGUACUACAAAUUCAAACUAUUCAAUUCAUAGCUUCAGCCUAAACCAUGCCGACCACAAUUUUGUGUUCCUUUUACUUAAUUGCUAUCUGUUUUUGAGCUUUAGCACAAGAAAAUUCACACAUACACGCAGGAAAAGGUGGCAUAAGUACUGUGGAGUUGCACUUCCUAUUUUUACACCAUCAUCACUACCCAAUGGUGGUAUGUUUUUCCAUUAAAUUACAAAUUUAGACUUCUAAAUCUACUUACGAAUUCUAAGCUAGACCCCCUUCUCUUUUUUGUUUUGUUUUAAUUCUUGUUCUUGUUAUUUAGACGCGCACAAUAAUAAGCUUGAGUUCUUUGCUUUGACCUGUCUCUUUUGGUUAAAAAGAAAAAAUAAUAUAUAUUUUUUAUUCUAACUUUUAUCAAGUCAUGCAUAUGAAUAUGAAGUAUGAAGUCUGAAAUCCGAUACUUAUAGAAAUAAAAUUGUAUUAAGAUGUGAAAGACUGCAUAUACAGUUGUUAAAUGAUCUAAAAUAGAAGUCACAUGUACCAAAAAGAAUGAAUUAGGGUAUUUAGACAGAGAUACUAUGAAGAAAUAAUUAAUUAAAUAAUAGAAAUCUUAUUGGUGUUUCAAUAUCUAAUAUCAACUUUGUCAAAAAGAAAAUAUAUAUCCAUCAAUAACGAACUUGAUAAUUUUUUUUAUAUUAGUUUUUUCACAUUAAUGUUUCAGGAGGCUAAAAAAGCUUGAUUAUGCCUUAAACAUAUAAAUCAUAGAUCAGAAUUGUUGCUGAACUUAAGUGCAACUGUAUUAUGUGCUGUUUCUAUUUAAACUAUGUCAAAUGAUUUGAAGAGGGAUAUAUACGCGUAGAAACACACAACACCUAUUAGUUAAACAGCAGCUACAUGAUUAAAUUCCUUUAUGAAGAAGUUGGUACUUUGAUUCAUAGGGCGGCAGGAGUGGGAGACAUGAACAUAUAUAGAAUAGAUAUGGAUAACAUAUACAUAUAUAUAUAUUAUUUAGUGCUCUUCCUGUUAUAUGCACAGCUGUGUGGUUUUUGACACCAAACUUAGCUCCAAACAUAUACUUUAAGCUUUAGAAACCAGUAUUCGGCGUUAGAUUUAGCUGGCAUAAAGAAAUAUAUGCCCGUAUAAAUUAGUAAUUCAAAAUUUAAUAUUUUUUUAAAAAAAUUAGAAAUUUACAGCAUUAGUUUUUAUGUAUGUAUAUAUAACAUACUAUAAUAUAAUCAGGAUGGUUGUAAUUAUUAUUGAAUUUGUUAUUUAGUCUAUUAUUUGAGCUCAAUUUUUAUACAGUUAGUAUCUUAAACUAUAAUUCCUAAAUAUACAGAAUGAGUAUGGGAAAUGUGCUAAGAACUUUGAGUACUAAUUAAGCUUAUCCGAACAACCCUUGAUUUUAGAUUUCAGAUUUAUUUAAAGAAAAUUCAGCAUGGGAGUUGCAUAACUAAAUUGCGAAACAUGUUUUGUUGAUGAUAAAUUACCUUAGUAGCUUGCUAAAUUCUUUGUGCUUCCUAAUCAUUUAAUUAAUCUAAGAGUUGAAAUUAAUUAUCUUUUUUCUGGAAAAUGAAAAUCUAUAUAUUAUUCAAGAAGUCAAUGGUAAAUUAAUUAACGUUCAACUCUCCCACAGUUUUACCAAUCCUAAUUACCUUCGGUUGUACCAACAAAGAAAGAUUGAUAUAAUAGGUGAAGAUAAAAGAAAGUAGCACGACUGAAUAAGUCGUUAAUUUUAUUAAAUAUUUCUUCAUUAGCCCAAUGAUGUAUGGACGCGCAGCCUAUGUAAUGAAGGGGAAAAAUUAACGUGGAUUUUAGUGUUUAAUUCUUUUCGCAGGUCACUUUCUAGCAAUGCUAUAAAAGCAUAAACAGAGUUCGACUUUUAUCUUUUCUUUAUCAUACAGUCAAAUUCUGGUACAUUACAUAGCAAAUCAAUCCCCUAUUACCAACUUUGUAAUUAAGACAACAAGCAAGUGACGUAAUUAAUUAAGAAAUGUCCACGCAACCCUAAUUAAAAAAAUUAAAAUUAACCUCAAAUCAUAAGUGAGAUACGGCCACCAAAUAUCUCUAGGUCGUAUUACAUAUCUUACAGUUUUUGACCUCAUGUUAAUAUAUGAUUUUUCUAUACGAUUUAAUUAUGCUUAAAAACAAAUAAACAACAAACCAACUCUUUGUUUUUGUUUAAUUAUUCUUCUUCCAAACUCCCAACUCUAAACUAUUCCAACAGAAAAGAACUCUCAGAGAUUACGUGGCGCAAUCAGUGCCGUUGUUUCUGUUGACAAAAUAGCCAAUACCAAGCUCCUGAAAACUCUCUACUUACAUAUAAUUCAGCUAUCAUGUUAAAAUGAUCACUGAGUGAAAAAAACACACACACACGUAUAAAUCUCUUUGCUUCCUGCUGUAUGAUUUACAAUUUGUUUUGUCUGUAAUUUAGUGUAUUUUACUAAGGAUUUGGAAAAAAUGCAGGUACUUAAUUAUUAAUUAACUGAGCAAGGAAAAUCUCAACUACUACUACACCCCUCUCUCUCUCUUCAUCUCAAAGCGCAAAAAAGCGUUGAAUUCGUGUUGUAGAGAUCAGUUGAGAGGUAUUUGUCUUGUUUUAGUUCCUAAGCACAUGUGAAGAACAGCAACAGCUUCUACAAGAGAAAAAGAAAAAAAAAAACUAAAUUUAAAACUCACCCGGCAAUAGUGAUGAGAUCACAGUCGUCGUUUGGUGGAAGCAGCUCCAGACUAUCGAAUUACAGCCGUACAUUGGAUUUACCAGAUGAUCAUGACGAUUCCGGUGCACUCAGCUUUGACGACUGCGAACUCGGCGGUGCAAUGUUACCGAUAUUUCUCAACGACCUGAGAAGAAACAGCGAGCAAAACGACGGCUUAGUUGAAGUUACGCUAGAGUUGGAUAAUGACUCCAUUUUUGUUUGCAGUGUCAAACCUAAUGACAAGCCUACCUCAUCAGUGACAUCUGAUCCUGGCCACGGUGCUGCUGGUGGUAGUGGCGGAGGGAUUUUGGAAAGGAGUUUAUCGGCGACGUCGAGAAUACGAC
This 5994-nucleotide long non-coding RNA is filed under the name Ricinus communis (castor bean). RNAcentral's name for it is "long non-coding RNA (RCOM_LNC000693)". The record is from RNAcentral. Lineage: Eukaryota; Viridiplantae; Streptophyta; Magnoliopsida; Malpighiales; Euphorbiaceae.